RNAcentral lists this ribosomal RNA (494 nucleotides) under uncultured bacterium. RNAcentral describes it as "partial 16S ribosomal RNA". It matches the Rfam family "Bacterial small subunit ribosomal RNA", at positions 29 to 507 of the family's 1533-position model. The record is from RNAcentral.
AUUGAACGCUGGCGGCAUGCUUUACACAUGCAAGUCGAACGGCAGCGGGGAGGAUGUUGCUUGUCUGCGGGCGAGAGGCGAACGGGUGAGCAAUGCAUCGGAACGUGUGGAGGAGAGGGGGAUAACCACCCGGAAGUGUUACUAAUACCGCAUAGAGGCAGAGGGAGGAGGCUGGUGGGCUAUGAAGAGGCCUGGCGCUUCUUGGGCGGCCGAGGUCGGAUUAGCUAGUUGGUGAGGUAAAGGCGCACCAAGGCGAAGAUCUGUAGCGGGUCUGAGAGGAUGAUCAGCCACACUGGGACUGAGACACGGCCCAGACUCCUACGGGAGGCAGCAGUGGGGAAUAUUGGACAAUGGGCGCAAGCCUGAUCCAGCCAUGCCGCGUGUAUGAAGAAGGCCUUAGGAUUGUAAAGUACUUUUGUUAGGGAAGAAGAGUCAGCUGUGAAUAAUGUGUUAUACUGACGGUACCUAAAGAAUAAGCACCGGCUAACUACGUG